CCUACGGGAGGCAGCAGUGAGGAAUAUUGGUCAAUGGACGAGAGUCUGAACCAGCCAAGUAGCGUGAAGGAUGACUGCCCUAUGGGUUGUAAACUUCUUUUAUAAAGGAAUAAAACGAGGCUAGUGUGCCUUUUUGCAUGUACUUUAUGCAUAAGGAUCGGCUAACUCCGUGCCAGCAGCCGCGGUAAUACGGAGGAUCCGAGCGUUAUCCGGAUUUGUUGGGUUUAAAGGGAGCGUAGAUGGGUUGUUAAGUCAGUUGUGAAAGUUUGCGGCUCAACCGUAAAAUUGCAAUUGAUACUGGCAGUCUUGAGUACAGAUGAGGUAGGCGGAAUUCGUGGUGUAGCGGUGAAAUGCUUAGAUAUCACGAAGAACCCCGAUUGCGAAGGCAGCUUACUAAACUGUGACUGACAUUGAUGCUCGAAAGUGUGGGUAUCAAACAGGAUUAGAUACCCGAGUAGUC
This 460-nucleotide ribosomal RNA is filed under the name uncultured bacterium. Its description in RNAcentral is "partial 16S ribosomal RNA". It matches the Rfam family "Bacterial small subunit ribosomal RNA", at positions 338 to 795 of the family's 1533-position model. The record is from RNAcentral.